RNAcentral lists this ribosomal RNA (497 nucleotides) under uncultured bacterium. Its description in RNAcentral is "partial 16S ribosomal RNA". It matches the Rfam family "Bacterial small subunit ribosomal RNA", at positions 28 to 507 of the family's 1533-position model. The record is from RNAcentral.
GAUGAACGCUGGCGGCGUGCCUAAUACAUGCAAGUCGAGCGAACAGACGAGGAGCUUGCUCCUCUGACGUUAGCGGCGGACGGGUGAGUAACACGUGGAUAACCUACCUAUAAGACUGGGAUAACUUCGGGAAACCGGAGCUAAUACCGGAUAAUAUAUUGAACCGCAUGGUUCAAUAGUGAAAGACGGUUUUGCUGUCACUUAUAGAUGGAUCCGCGCCGGAUUAGCUAGUUGGUAAGGUAACGGCUUACCAAGGCAACGAGGCGUAGCCGACCUGGGAGAGUGAUCGGCCUCAUGAUAUCUGAGACACGGUCCAUAGUCCAGCGGGAGGCAGCAGUAGGGAAUCUUCCGCAAUGAGCAAGAGCCUGACGGAGCAACGCCGAGUGAGUGAUGAUGGUCUUCGGAUCGUAAAACUCUGGUAUUAGGGAAGAACAAAUGUGUAAGUAACUAUGCACGUCUUGACGGUACCUAAUCAGAAAGCCACGACUAGCUACGUG